CCGACACUAUUUCUCCCCCCACCCCCUUUAAGGACAACUGAAGUUAAGCUGUUAAACAUUCAGACAGAGCUGGGCAGUGUUGUCAUAAUAGUGUGCAGUACUGUUCAUCUCUGCAUUCAGAGGUAAUUCCACAGGUCAAGUCCCCUGCAGGACUGACCAAACCUCACUCAGCUGAGAGAGAAGGCAGCUGGAGAAGAUCUGCAUGAGCUAAUGCCUUGGGGCAGGGGAAGAAGGGAAGACGGGGUCUGUCAGAGGAGAGAAUAAGGACUGGAAGCUGAAGGAAUCUAUGUGAGCUUGAGCUCCCACACAGAAAGCAAGAAGAGCUCACAGAGAUCACAGUAUCAGACUUUACACAGUAAGAGUUGCAGGGCUUACUCUGCAGCCAUGUUCUUAAUCUGGCUGACAGUCACAAUGCAAAUACUUAAAGCCCACAGAAGAGAAGCACACAUUUACAUGAGCAGCUGCUUCUCCUGGAUGCAGAAAUGUGUAAACGAUACUCUGGAGAAAGCACCGUGUUUGAGCAUGGAUCUGUGUGGUACAACACCAAUAAAACACAAUCAAAGCCUCCUCUGAAACAGCCCAUUUCAUCACCUGUCUGAGCUACAGGGCAACCAGAGACUGUUCUCUGGGACAGACCUUUGGGACUCAUCCUCUAGAAGUGAAAAUCACACUGGGACAGCCGCUGUAUUGGAUGCAAUCAGUGAGUUUCAGCAUGACUUCCCCUUAGCAGGGGGAACCUGCCACGUGCAGCUGCAGGAAAUCCUCUGGCCAAAACCAUCUCCGUUCCCUGUACCUGAGACUCACUGAUCUCAGCAAAACCUUCUUAGUUACCCUUCAGCUCUGAAGAAAAGAUUGUCAUGAACAUGCUUCUCACACCCCUCCACCACUGCCAAAUUUCCUGACAACCUCAAUUUCAAGCACAAUGCUUUUUUACCUUGCUUCAGAAACCUGCUGUUCAAUUCCCUGCAGCUUUCAGCUCCGGAGAAGCAAGGACAGCACAAGGGGUGGUAGAUGUAGUUGAGCCCCAGGUGAAAAGCAGGCAAAGACACCAGAACAAAAGCACCUGCUGUGCACCACUUCAUACAACUCACUCAGUCUAAAGCAGAAGCAGCAGAAAUCAGGGACACACUAAGCCUCAUUUUUCACCCCUUUCACAAGUCGUAUUUCCUCCCUUCAGGUGAGGCAGGUUUUGUGCUGCAUCUGAAAGCUCAGCUUCCUCCUGAAAACAGUCUUAAAGAUACAAAUGUAAAACCACACCAAUAUCGUAAGGCUAAAGGCUUCUGUAAACCGUUUUCCCUUGGGAGAAAACAACACACCCCAUACAAAAACAACCAAAACCUCCAUCUCUGUGCCAUUAAGAAUCACUGCCUCCAAACACACAGCUUAAAUAUUUAAUUCAGUCUGUGUCUGAGUGUGGGGGGGGGCUUCUGCUCAACAGCCCACCUCACUGGUGGGAGCAUAACAAACAGUGCAACACAAUUCACAGGUUUAUUUAAUAAAUAUUUAUUUAAAAAUAUGCUUUUAUUCACAGUUUCAAGUCUGAAAAAAGAUAACACUAUUGUGGAUCAAUUCCAACACAGCAAAGAUCAUUCACCUCCUGUUGCAAAUGAAACACCAGCAAUGGCAAAUGCAAGAACCUUGCAUCAAAGCAAGGAAGGCACACAUUUUGUGCAGAAUAGUGACUGUAAUGAGAGAAAUGUAUCCAUGCAUCCGACAGAAACCUCCUUGCACUGCUUGGUUUCCUGUUCCUGGUUAAAGUAUUCCAAUAAAGCUUUGCUUACAAAGUCUAUCUCGUUAAAUAUCAAACAGAGCAACUGUGAGGUUAUAUUCCUAUGCAAAAUGUUUGCAUUGCUGCAAAGCCUUAAAGAGAAACAUUGUGCUUUUCUCCCAAGAUAAAAAAAAAAAAAA
Coturnix japonica (Japanese quail) is the source of this 1908-nucleotide non-coding RNA. NCBI's taxonomy places the organism in Eukaryota, Metazoa, Chordata, Aves, Galliformes, Phasianidae. The record is from RefSeq and is a predicted model, not a curated record.